AUUGAACGCUGGCGGCAGGCCUAACACAUGCAAGUCGAGCGGAUGAAGGGAGCUUGCUCCUGGAUUCAGCGGCGGACGGGUGAGUAAUGCCUAGGAAUCUGCCUGGUAGUUGGGGAUAACGUCCGGAAACGGGCGCUAAUACCGCAUACGUCCUGAGGGAGAAAGUGGGGGAGCUUCGGACCUCACGCUAUCAGAUGAGCCUAGGUCGGAUUAGCUAGUUGGUGGGGUAAAGGCCUACCAAGGCGACGAUCCGUAACUGGUCUGAGAGGAUGAUCAGUCACACUGGAACUGAGACACGGUCCAGACUCCUACGGGAGGCAGCAGUGGGGAAUAUUGGACAAUGGGCGAAAGCCUGAUCCAGCCAUGCCGCGUGUGUGAAGAAGGUCUUCGGAUUGUAAAGCACUUUAAGUUGGGAGGAAGGGCAGUAAGUUAAUACCUUGCUGUUUUGACGGUACCAACAGAAUAAGCACCGGCUAACUUCGUG
RNAcentral lists this ribosomal RNA (484 nucleotides) under uncultured bacterium. RNAcentral describes it as "partial 16S ribosomal RNA". It matches the Rfam family "Bacterial small subunit ribosomal RNA", at positions 30 to 507 of the family's 1533-position model. The record is from RNAcentral.